This 1807-nucleotide long non-coding RNA is filed under the name Nicotiana tabacum (common tobacco). Its description in RNAcentral is "long non-coding RNA (NTAB_LNC006581)". The record is from RNAcentral. Lineage: Eukaryota; Viridiplantae; Streptophyta; Magnoliopsida; Solanales; Solanaceae.
GACCCCUAACAUCAACCUUAAGCUCUCUACAAGGGUUUCAAAUAAUACCAUCAUUCUGGGCACGAAAUCAAGAAGCAAUAACACUAGAACGAUCCCCACUGCGUAAGUAUUGCUAUAUUGCCUCUCUUUUUCUUUGUAGUUUGAGUUUUGAAAGGUAUUUAAUAGCUAAGAAAAUUCUUAAUUUCUGGUUUUAAUCUCUUAAAUAUCAAGGAAGGUUGAUUAAUUGAUUUCAUAAUAGUUAGAACUCAUGGGACAGUGAUCGGAAGCCGUGAGUUCGAGUUAUUUGACUUGUAAUGGAUGUUCUUAGGCUGUUUCGUGUAGCUUUUGGGCUGUCUAUUUUGUUGUUGUCAAAUGGAGUUUUUUGGAGGAUAAAUGGUGUGGAUAAAUACCACAUAAUGGCAAAAUCAUGGAUUAGUCAUUAUGUUUGACACUACUAUAGUCGUCGUUUUGGAUAUGAAUUGAUUAGGGUGUAUUGGGUUGUUGUAAGCUAAAUAUAAUAUGGGUUUCGACUUGCAUAUACUGUAUGAGGUAAAUAUAUUGUGUUCCUACAUGUUCUUAAGGUUAUCUUGGCAUUGGUUAAGUUAAAUGGAUGAACUAGAUAAUAAAGUUGCUAAUUAAGAAUAAUUGGAGUUGUGGAUCAUUUUCUUUAUUAUAGAUAUAUGGUAUAAGGCUAGAAUUAUUGAUGAAUGACUCCAUUAUCAUGUUAAUGAUACUAUUGAGUUAAAUUAAAAAGUCUAUAAGGGAUGAUAUGGGUAUACGAAUUCCAAUUGGAGCUUGUCGCUCGUCGUAAAAUAGUUAUGACUUGUUGUUGUUUUAUGGUGUCUUGUUAUUGAUAAUUAUGUAUUGCUGGAUUUCUCUAGUAAUUGUUGUUGGUAUAUGAUAUUGGAGGAGGCUCUUGUUACAGGGGAGAUGCUGCCCGAAUUUAUAUAAACGAGCUACAAGUUUAAGUUGCAGACUUAGCCUUUAUUCAACACUGAUUUUGAAUCUCCUUAUGCAAUGGUAGACUGAGUUGAGUUGUUUGGAGAGUAGCUUGGGAGGUAUUAAAGACUCACCAUGGUUAAGGUAUGUUAAGGCACUUCCCUUUUUCUUUCGGCAUGAUCUAAAGUGAAAUAAAUACGCUAUUUUAUAACGGAUUUACUCCUAGAAACUAAGGUUGCUCAUGUUGUUCUUUCCUUAUAAGUUAUUUUAAGCAAGUAUGUAUGAUCCUUGAAUCCUAUAGAAGCUCAUAUUGAUGGUAUGAUGUCCAUAAUGUUAAUCGAAGGUGAAACGACCUUAAGUCACUCCAAAAGGUUUAGAACGUGAUUCCAUGAGUCUAGCAUGCAUUAUAUAUAGUAUCUAUUUUACUCUACCGAGCCGCGCUAUAGUAGGCCGGGUACGACACCUAUGGUGCAAUCACUGAUCAGUUGGAUUUACCGAGCUCCACGUGGCCGGGUACGAUUCUACCGAGCCUUAUGAUGGUCGGGUACGCUUUUACCGAGUCCUCUUUGAGGCCAGGUACGAUAUGAUGAUGAUGAUGAUGAUGCCUACAGAGUCGUAUGUUUUUAAAAGUUUAUCUAUAUAUAUGUAUUAUGCAUUUCAUGUCAGUAACCCCAGAGGCACGCAAAUGUUAUAGGUUGUAUCUCCUCUAUCUCUCUUUAGAUUACUGUUCUUGUUUAUGCUUUCCUGCCUUACAUACUCGGUACUAUAUUUGUACCGACGUCCUUUUUUCCUGGGGACGCUGCGUUUCAUGCCCGCAGGUCCCAAUUGAUAGGUUGACAUUUCUCCUAGUAGGCUAUCAGCUCAGCGGAGGUGUUGGUGCACUCUACUU